AUUGAACGCUGGCGGCAGGCCUAACACAUGCAAGUCGAGCGGGUGAAGGGGGCUUGCUCCUGGAUUCAGCGGCGGACGGGUGAGUAAUGCCUAGGAAUCUGCCUGGUCGUGGGGGAUAACGUCCGGAAACGGGCGCUAAUACCGCAUACGUCCUGAGGGAGAAAGUGGGGGGUCUUCGGAUCUCACGCUUUCAGAUGAGCCUAGGUCGGAUUAGCUAGUUGGUGGGCUAAAGGCCUACCAAGGCGACGAUCCGUAACUGGUCUGAGAGGAUGAUCAGUCACACUGGAACUGAAACACGAUCAACACUCCUACGACAGAGAGCAGUGGCAAAUACUGGACGAUGGGAGCAAGCCUGAACAAGCGACGCCGCGCGAGUGCAGAAUCUAUCAGGAUCGCAAAACACAUUAAGUUGGGAGGAAGGGAAGUCUCUUAUUACCGUGCUGAUAAGACGUUACCAACAGAAAAAACCCCCGCCAAACUCCUG
RNAcentral lists this ribosomal RNA (484 nucleotides) under uncultured bacterium. RNAcentral describes it as "partial 16S ribosomal RNA". It matches the Rfam family "Bacterial small subunit ribosomal RNA", at positions 30 to 507 of the family's 1533-position model. The record is from RNAcentral.